GGGUUGUGAGGUUAAGCGACUAAGCGUACACGGUGGAUGCCCUGGCAGUCAGAGGCGAUGAAGGACGUGCUAAUCUGCGAUAAGCGUCGGUAAGGUGAUAUGAACCGUUAUAACCGGCGAUUUCCGAAUGGGGAAACCCAGUGUGAUUCGUCACACUAUCAUUAACUGAAUCCAUAGGUUAAUGAGGCGAACCGGGGGAACUGAAACAUCUAAGUACCCCGAGGAAAAGAAAUCAACCGAGAUUCCCCCAGUAGCGGCGAGCGAACGGGGAGCAGCCCAGAGCCUGAAUCAGUGUGUGUGUUAGUGGAAGCGUCUGGAAAGGCGCGCGAUACAGGGUGACAGCCCCGUACACAAAAAUGCACAUGCUGUGAGCUCGAUGAGUAGGGCGGGACACGUGGUAUCCUGUCUGAAUAUGGGGGGACCAUCCUCCAAGGCUAAAUACUCCUGACUGACCGAUAGUGAACCAGUACCGUGAGGGAAAGGCGAAAAGAACCCCGGCGAGGGGAGUGAAAAAGAACCUGAAACCGUGUACGUACAAGCAGUGGGAGCACGCUUAGGCGUGUGACUGCGUACCUUUUGUAUAAUGGGUCAGCGACUUAUAUUCUGUAGCAAGGUUAACCGAAUAGGGGAGCCGAAGGGAAACCGAGUCUUAACUGGGCGUUAAGUUGCAGGGUAUAGACCCGAAACCCGGUGAUCUAGCCAUGGGCAGGUUGAAGGUUGGGUAACACUAACUGGAGGACCGAACCGACUAAUGUUGAAAAAUUAGCGGAUGACUUGUGGCUGGGGGUGAAAGGCCAAUCAAACCGGGAGAUAGCUGGUUCUCCCCGAAAGCUAUUUAGGUAGCGCCUCGUGAAUUCAUCUCCGGGGGUAGAGCACUGUUUCGGCAAGGGGGUCAUCCCGACUUACCAACCCGAUGCAAACUGCGAAUA
Molecule: ribosomal RNA, 929 nt
Filed under: Escherichia coli
Lineage: Bacteria; Pseudomonadati; Pseudomonadota; Gammaproteobacteria; Enterobacterales; Enterobacteriaceae
Description: partial 23S ribosomal RNA
Rfam family: Bacterial large subunit ribosomal RNA
Source: RNAcentral